AAAUAUGAAGGUGGUCUAGUUGUUAACAUCUACCACUCUGCUGAUUGCCAGACUAUUUUGGCUAAAUUACUGGCCAAGUAGGUAUCUCUUCCCUCCUUCAUCAUGCCAUAUACAAUCCUUCCAAAACUUGAAGCUCGGUCCAAAAGUAACCAGAUAGUAACGAAUGGUUUUUCAACCCCUUGGUAGAAAUUACCCCUCUCCAAAACUGACCUACAACCCUGUCAAAGGUAUUGAAUAUGCAAAUCUAUUCUCUUAU
RNAcentral lists this small RNA (256 nucleotides) under Carlito syrichta (Philippine tarsier). Its description in RNAcentral is "7SK RNA (ENSTSYG00000024343.2)". The stretch from base 1 to 185 matches the Rfam family "7SK RNA". From Rfam's summary of the family: 7SK was discovered as an abundant small nuclear RNA in the mid-70s but a possible function has only recently been suggested. Two independent studies have found that 7SK RNA binds the CDK9/cyclin T complex (known as elongation factor P-TEFb). The record is from RNAcentral. Lineage: Eukaryota; Metazoa; Chordata; Mammalia; Primates; Tarsiidae.